UGGGGAAUAUUGGACAAUGGGCGAAAGCCUGAUCCAGCCAUGCCGCGUGUGUGAAGAAGGUCUUCGGAUUGUAAAGCACUUUAAGUUGGGAGGAAGGGUUGUAGAUUAAUACUCUGCAAUUUUGACGUUACCGACAGAAUAAGCACCGGCUAACUCUGUGCCAGCAGCCGCGGUAAUACAGAGGGUGCAAGCGUUAAUCGGAAUUACUGGGCGUAAAGCGCGCGUAGGUGGUUAGUUAAGUUGGAUGUGAAAUCCCCAGGCUCAACCUGGGAACUGCAUUCAAAACUGACUGACUAGAGUAUGGUAGAGGGUGGUGGAAUUUCCUGUGUAGCGGUGAAAUGCGUAGAUAUAGGAAGGAACACCAGUGGCGAAGGCGACCACCUGGACUGAUACUGACACUGAGGUGCGAAAGCGUGGGGAGCAAACAGGAUUAGAUACCCACGUAGUCCCUGAGCGGGCUGGCAAGGCGCAU
Molecule: ribosomal RNA, 472 nt
Filed under: uncultured bacterium
Lineage: Bacteria
Description: bacterial SSU rRNA
Rfam family: Bacterial small subunit ribosomal RNA
Source: RNAcentral